Molecule: long non-coding RNA, 6558 nt
Filed under: Homo sapiens (human)
Lineage: Eukaryota; Metazoa; Chordata; Mammalia; Primates; Hominidae
Description: HSALNT0385440
Source: RNAcentral
GAAAAGACAAAUAUACAGGUGACAAAUAAUAUUUAGAGUGUAAGACGCUUUUUAAAGGUAUAUUUGCAAUUUGUGUCACAACAUUUAAAUAUACAUUUGUUAUUUUAACUAUAAAAUUUCAAAUAAUUUAAGCCAAAUUCAUAGUAUAUGCAGAAAAUUUAGCAAUAUAUCUAUGUAGCACCUUACUGUGCAUUACUGUAACCAGCCGUCUAAUAUAAAGAAUUAAUUAAGGUAGCAGCUACUUUUCAAAUAGCGCAUUUUUUUUCACAGACCUAUUAAAUAAGACAAAUAACAUUUAAACUUUAUUUUUAAAUUUGCAGGAUAGCAGUUUUCAGCAGAUGGUUUCUUUUAGCAAAUUCCAUCUUCACAUUGUGCUAUGCUUUUAUGAGUUCCAGCUGUUAACGGAUCAUAUUUUACUGCUGAAACCAUCAUGUGUGAUAUAAUUGCUCAUUAUGUGCCUUAAAACACAAGCAAUAUAAUUAUUUUCAACUUGGAGCAAAUUAAAAUCUUAUCAGCAAUUUAAAAUCUCUAGAGUCGUCUUCUUCUGGUUAAUUAUUUUAAACUUGUAUUUUUCUCUUUAUGUUUUUAGUGAGUUCUCUUAUCAAGGAGAAGAACUCAAGGUGAUUAUUCUUUUUUUCUCUUCCAUGCACCUCACAGGUGUGUUAAUAAUUUCAUUUCUCAGAAAAUGUUCUUUCAUAUCUAUCUUACAUGAUGAGAGACCUUUUAACAUCUUCCAUUCGGAUGUGAUACCAGUAAUGGAAAAUAUUCCAGCUUCAUGAAUAUGGUGAUACAAAUAGUUAUCCGUCUAACCUCUUUCAGUGCCAAAUGUUUACUAUACUCAGUGAGUUACUCAGUCGACUGGUAAUUUCUUCUGAAAUCACUAAUGAGAGGAUCAGAAGUCUGGCUGUUGUCUGUACCUCAUAUGACUCCCAGUGCAGACAAUUGUUUCUAUGGAGCACAGACAGUUGAAAGGAUUGACUUCCUGCCUAGAAUAGUUUCUGCUGUGCUUCUUAUCCUUCUUGUGGAGAUUUCAGAUUAUCUGAAUUGCUUUUCUAUCUUAAGAAAAAACGCAACAAUUCUCCCACCUGAGAGGCAUGUAAACUGUAGUAAGUUAGCAGAACCAAUCCGUAAAGUUUUUACAUUGUUUGUUGCAAAAUGCAGCGCUGGUGUCUCCAUCACUAACCUUUUCUAUCCCUCAUUGCUCUUUCUUUGACUGCAAUAGGAUACCUGUAGGCAAAUCUGUAUUCCCGAGACAGAGUGCCCUUUUGGUGAGCUAUAAGCACACUCAAUGGUAGGCUGAAAUACUAGUUUUUAUCUAUGGUGAAGUGGAAUCAUAUCAGUGAUUUUCUUAAAAAGGAAAUUUAACUCUUGCUAUGGUUUGAAUGCUUGCCCCUUCCAAACUCAUGUUAAAAUUUGAUCCCCAGUGUUGCAGGUGGGGCUCACUGGGAGGUGUUUGGUCAUGGGGUUGGACCUUCAUGAAUGGAUAAUACCCUCCCUUAGAAAUCUAAAGCUAUCCUCCCUCCUCGGUGCCCUCAGGAAUGAGUGUACCAUUCUUUAUUCACCUAUAAUUACCCCACCCAUCCUUUUUGAGAUAUUGAUUACAUGUAUGUUACACUGAUGCAUAUUGUCUGACGUAUCAGUGAGUUUCUGGUUUUCUUAUUUUAGUUUACCAUUUGUCCUUUAGUUUGUAAUGCUUCUAAUUUGUUCUAUAAAUUUUCUGAUGUUAGGGUAAAAUCCAUUACUUAUUCUAUGUCAUGGAAUUUUUAUUUCAAAUAUUUAUUUUUCAUCUAUAUAUGUCACAUUUUUCAUUUUAUAACUUCUAUUUUUCUCCUAUGUUUAAUUUUCAUUUAAGUACCUUGACAUAUAUAUGUAUUUAUCUAUAUGUAUUUAUAAAAUAUAUUUACUUUAAGAACCUUGAAAUUUCCUUCUUUUUUGUCAUUUAUAAAUGACUUAUUUUUAUCCUGUUAAUAUAUAUCUUAAUUAUAUAUAUCUUACGGCUUCUUUGCAUGUCAGAGUUUUUUUUGGGUAUUUUGAUGUUAUGCUAUUGAAUAUCUAGAUUUGAUUGGCUACCUUUGAACAAUGUUGUGGCAGGCAGUUCAGUAACUUCAGGAUGAGUAUUUGUCUGUUGUUGUUUUAAAUCUUCUCUUUAAGCUUUGUUGAGUUAGUCUAGAGCCAUCUGUAAUUUGGAGCUAAAUGAGCACUGUCACUAGGGCAUGAACCUCCAGUGGUCUUUACUGAAUAUCCUGGAGGUACAGAGGGGAUUCCCUUCUCUGAUUAGAAUUAGGAAUGUAAAGGGAAAAGAGAAAAAUAGAAAGCUAUGCAUAAACACGUGCAUUAAAAUGAAUUUUAUGUGGGCUUUUUCAUGAAAAUGUUCCUAAGGUAUUUUAUUUUUUUAUUGUGGUAAAAUACACAUAACAUAAAAUGUACUCGGUUAACCAUUUUAAGUGUACAGUUCAGUGGUACUAAAUAUAGUCAUAACAUUGUGCAGCCGUCCCUACCAUCCAUCUCCAUAAUUCGUUUCAUCUUGUAAAACUGAAACUCUAUACCCAUUAAACAAUACUUCCCCAUUUCUUCCUCCCCCCAGCUUCUGGCAACAAUCAUUGUACCAUCCCUAUAAUGCUAAUCAAGCAUAGUGGCUGUGUUUCUUGCUUCCUCUAGUCCGCAGGUAGCAUACAAAUGUAAUAAACUACUUAUUCAUGUCACAUCAAUUUAUUUUCUGCCUUAUACCAAGCUUGUGGGAUUCUCUUCAAUACAACAUUUUUAUACUUACACCUAUGCAAUACCCAUUAGCAUCGCCUUCCUAAAUCAGGGGAAAUUGAGCCUCUGUAAGGUGGAGUAACUCCCUAAGAUAUAAAACUCAGCAUUGAAGUCUGUAUACUUCAAUAUCCUGCCCUCUUCUCAUGUGUCUUUACUGCCUUUUAUGUAUGUGUUAGAUGUUCAACAAAUUCUCUUUCUUAAACUGAAUUUAAGCCGUGGAGCAGUGUUUUGUUGAACAAUAACUAUGAUAUAGGACACUCUUCCUCCUUUUCAUGUAUGAUCCUGUUCAUGAAAAAGAGAAAUUCUUUCAUUGUGCUAGAAGCUUAAAAUAAUGAAAAUGCCACUUUCUACAUUAAACAGAAACUGAAGGGAAUCAAGGUGAAUUGCAUGAGACAUAGAAAACAAGUGGGAAAGAAAUCUAGUAUAAUUUGCCCUUUGUGUACCUUUAUUAUUUAGCGUUUGAGUAAAUGAUUCCCCCAAAUAUCUUCCCAUCUUAAUUCAUGUCUAUAACGUAGACAUUUAUGUCUCACCUUGUCAAGAAGGGCCAACUCUAACAUAAACAUUUCCCAAAAAUGCUUCCUGCUAAAACGUAAGCUCAGUCUGGCUAGAAAUGCAGCUGACUUCCUAAAGAUUAAUUGGUAGCUAAUUUUGCAUGCUGUUCUCUGAACUUGAGUGAAACCUGUCCAUCAGGCAUACAGGGAAUGACAGGAAAGGUGACAACAGAAGAUGAAUGCUAUGUCACUAACCUUCAAAGAUGACCUGCCUUUUCUUUCAAAUUCUUGAUAUCUUAAGACUUCAUUAAUUCAUGUCUCUUUUCCCUUGGUUCAACAUUUUGCUAUACCAAAACUCAUGUGAAACAAUGACCUAAUGUAAUAAAAAUGGCAUUUUUCUUUCAUGUAGUUGCAAGCUAACUGGCAUUUUUACAAUCCACAUAUUUCCUUUGUCAAUUUUUCAUUCUGUAUUGGAAGUAAUUGAUAGGUAUUUCUGAAGGGAUGAAGGUGUUUCUGUGUUCAUUGUGAUCCAAACUACUUUUAGACCUAGGGGGCGUUUGUAAAACAAUUUGUGCCCGCUGACCAAGGAUCACUGUGGCAGAAAGCAGCAAACUUGCAUAAGAUGUCACUGCUUCAUAGGUUGGCUUUGAAAACUACGGGCUUACUCUAUACUCUUAUGUAUAAAAGACAUUGAUAGAUGUAGUAUAAGAUUACAAUCAUAUUUUCCUUUUGGAAGUCACAUUAUAAAGCAUGAUGUAUUGCAAUUAAUCUCAAUUAGCUGAUCACAAUUAAAAUUAAUAAUGUUUAUUAUUGCUGAUAAAAAUCAUGUCUCUCCUGUUCUCAAAUGUGCAAGUAAUUCUUUUAAUUUUAAUACAAAUUUGCAUAUUAUUAUUAAUUGAUUUGAUCUCAUUGGAUUUGGUUCAUGGAUCCAAUUUAUUAAAAUAUUGAUAAUGGGAUAAUGAUUUGUCUCCCCAUUUCAUGUACACUAAAAACAACAUUUCUUACAAUGAUCUGCAAGCCCAUCAUCAUCUGCCACAUGUUAACUGCCAAAAUUCUUUUAUAUCUUCACCCUUGAUCUUACCAGUGGUCCUGGCCACCUCACUGUCCUCUGGACAUGCCAACAUGCUGCUGCCUUAUGGUCAAGACUCUAGUUAAUUUCUUGGCUUGGAAAGAUAGCCCUCCAUAUAUCCAUUGAUCAGCUCAUUCAACUUCCUCAAGUCUUUACUGAAACUUCACAUUCUCGAUGAGGCCUAUUCAGUAUUUCAAACUGCCUCCCAGCUGCAGCAUUCCAAAACCCCUUACUCUUCUGUGUAUUUUUGAAAGGAUUUAUUGAGAUAUAAUUUACAUAGUGUAGAGUGCACACAUUAAUGUCUACAAGUCAGUGGCUUUUAGUAUAUGCACAGAUAAGUGGAGCCAUCAUCACAAUGAAUUUUAGAGCAUUUUCAUCACUUCAAAAAGAAACCCCACCUUCCCUAGCUGUUAACCUCCUAUGCACCCAUCCCCUACUCAAUCCUAAGCAACCACAAAUCUGUUUUCUGUCUCUAUAGAUUUUCCUAGUCUGUUUUCAUCUAAAUAGAAUCAUACAAUAGGUGGCCUUUUCUGCCUGGCUUCUUUCAGCUGGCAUAAUGCUAUCAAGGUUCAUGUACGUAUUGGUACUUUCUUUCUUUUUAUAACUGUAUAACAUUCAAUUUCUUGGAUAUAACAUUUUGUUUAUCCAAUAAUAUUUUUAUUGACAUUUGAGUUGUGUUCAGCCUUCGGCUAUUUUAAAUACUGCUGCUAAAAAUACUUGUGUACAAUUUGUGUUUGAACACCUCUUUCCAAUAAUCUGGGUGUAUACCUAGGAAUAAAUUUCUGGGUCAUAUGACAAUUCUAUGUUUCAUAUAUUUAGAAGCCAUCAAAUUAUUUUCCAAGGUGGCCAGUUCUACCCAUAGAGUAUCUAACUGUGGUUUUGAUUUGUAGUUGCCUGAUGAGUGAUGCUAUUGAGUAUAUUUUUAUGGGAUUAUUGACCGUUCGUGUAUCUUCUUGGGAAACACAUCUAUUCCUAUCAUUUAUCAGUUUUGAGUUGGGAUAUUUGUGACGGAGUUAAAACAAUUUUUCUAUAUUCAAGAUACAUAUAUAUAUACAGACAUAUAGAUACGUGUUUUUCAAAUAUCUUCUCACAAUUUUUGAGCUGCCUUUUGACUUGCUUGUUUGUCCUUUGAAACACCAAUGUCUUUAAUUUUUAAGAAAUUUUAAAUAUCUAAUUUUUAUUUUGUUGCUCAUGUUUUUGGGGUUACAGCUAUUUCUUUGCUAGAUCCAAAAUCAUGAAGACUUUCCCAUAUGCUUUAUUCUACCUCUUGCAUGUGUGUCUUUAAUUCAUUUGAGUUAAUAUUUUUGUAUGCUUUGGGGUAAGGGUUCGAAUUUAUUAUUUUGCAAGUGGUGAUCCAUGUGUACGUUGUUGACCCAGUUUGUUCAAAGACUGUCUCUUCCUCAUUGAAUUGCACAUGGUACCACUGUAAGAAUCCAUUGACUGUAUUUUAGAAUCAGCUUGUCAGUUUCUAGACAGAAGUCUGUUGGGAUACUUGCAGGGAUUUCAUCAAAUCUGUAGUUCAAAUUGUAAAGUACUACAAUAUUAAAUAGUCCAAUUCAUGGGUGUAAGGUGUUUGCUAAUUAUUUAAAUAUUCUUUAAACAAUAAUUUUUAAUUUUCAGAGUAAAAUCUUGUAUCACAUUUUCCAAAUUAAUUAUUAUUUCUUUUUUUGAUGCUAUUUUAAAUUGAAGUGUUUUCUUAAAUUCAUUUUGGGGUUUUCAUUGCAGAUGUGUGCAAUUGAUUUUUGUACAUUUACUUUGUUUGCUGUAAUAUUGCUGAAAUAAUUUACGAGUUCUAUCGUUCGGUGGAUUCCUUAAAAUUUUCUAUAUACAAGAAUGUUAUUUUCAAAUAAAGUUUUAUUUCUUCCUGUUCAGUAUGGGUGACUCUUAUUUUUUUAGUUGCCGAUUUGCCCUGCAUAAAAUCUUUAGUACAGUGUUGACUAGAAGAGGUCAAAGUAUAUAUCCUAUCAAAGUAUAUAUCUCUGACCAUAGCGGGAAAGCAUCCUUUACCAUUAAGUUGCAUGCUUGCUGUUGGCUUUUCACAGGUGCCAUGUAUCAGGUGUAGAAAGUUCUCUAUUCCUGGUUCAUUGAGUUUUUAUUUUUAUUUUUAGUCAUUAAAGCAUUUGGAUUCUGUUAAAUGUCUUUUCCGAAUCUAUCGACAUGAUCAUGCAAUUCUCGUUUCUUAUUCUAUGGAUAAGGUGUAUUACCUUAAUGGAUUUUGGGCUGUUAAACCAACCUGGGAUU